RNAcentral lists this ribosomal RNA (247 nucleotides) under uncultured bacterium. Its description in RNAcentral is "partial 16S ribosomal RNA". It matches the Rfam family "Bacterial small subunit ribosomal RNA", at positions 523 to 769 of the family's 1533-position model. The record is from RNAcentral.
AUACGGAGGGUGCAAGCGUUAUUCGGAAUUACUGGGCGUAAAGCGCGUGCAGGCGGGAAGGUCAGUCUGAUGUGAAAGCCCGGGGCUCAACCCCGGAAGUGCAUUGGAAACAGCCUUUCUUGAGUACCGGAGAGGAAGGGAGAAUUCCCGGUGUAGAGGUGAAAUUCGUAGAGAUCGGGAGGAACACCAGUGGCGAAGGCGCCCUUCUGGACGGUAAUUGACGCUGAGACGCGAGAGCGUGGGGAGC